This is a long non-coding RNA of Gymnodraco acuticeps, 394 nucleotides long. RefSeq lists it as uncharacterized. The transcript has 4 exons. NCBI's taxonomy places the organism in Eukaryota, Metazoa, Chordata, Actinopteri, Perciformes, Bathydraconidae. The record is from RefSeq and is a predicted model, not a curated record.
GUCAGUAUUUAUCCUCUGAGUUAGUAUUUCAGGGGGAAGAGGGGGCUAACAUUGAGUAGACAAAUGAUGAGGUUCCAUUCAUUUUCAACUUUAUUAUUGUUACAUUUUCUUUUAGCGGGACAUAGCACAGAUCCGGAAAUGGUGGUGCAUUAUGCUCAUGGAACGGUACCAGAUUGAAGGCCACGGACAGAGGUUUUCUUACUGGACCAAUGAGGCCGAAGAGCUGCUCAAAGGGGCACUGGAGCCAGUGUACAGGGUCUCAAAGAAGCAAAAGACAGAACAUGAGGUCCAGUUUCAAAAGUCCGACAUGUGCUUCAUAUUGGAGCUGCCAAACUGUCUUCUCUCGGACCUUCUGAUGGAAGUGGUUCUCCAGGAAGGUGACAAAGCGUACUCA